UCUUCCUCGCUGCUGAGGCCGUCGCCUCUCCCCGGAGACCUGCUGGAGUGAUGGGCUGCAUCGGAUCCCGGACUGUGGGAAACGAGGUCAUUGCAGUAGACUGGAAAGGACUGAAAGAUGUGGACCAAAUCAAUAUGGACAGCACCAGUUCUCUGCAUGGCAGCAGCUUCCAUCGACCUUCCACUGAGCAAACACGGACAGAUUUUUCUUGGGAUGGUAUUAAUCUCUCCAUGGAAGAUACGACCUCUAUCCUCCCCAAGCUGAAACGCAACUCCAAUGCUUAUGGAAUUGGGGCUUUGGCAAAAUCAUCUUUUUCUGGGAUAUCCCGCAGCAUGAAGGACCAUGUCACAAAGCCAACAGCUAUGGGCCAAGGCCGUGUAGCUCACAUGAUUGAAUGGCAAGGCUGGGGUAAAGCUAACAGCCAGCAGCAGCAGCACACGCAUGAGACGGCACGCAAAGAUGCUGAUGCCUAUUCAGACCUGAGUGACGGUGAAAAGGAGGCCCGUUUCCUUGCAGGAGUGAUGGAGCAAUUUGCUAUUUCUGAGGCAACUCUCAUGGCCUGGUCCUCAAUGGAUGGUGAGGAUGUGAGUGUAAAUUCAAAUCAGGAUAAUCCAGCAGGCAACUAUUCUGAGAACUAUCAGGAGCUAAUGGAGAGCCAAGAACACAUGGCCCAGACGCAGUAUGAUAGCUGGCCUCAUUCCUAUGUCUCACAGGGCAUGUAUUGCUUAGGUUCAUCUGACGCCUGGGAGACCAGUGAUCAGUCCCUCAUUGCUUCCCCAGCAACUGGCUCAUACUUAGGCCAGAAUUUUGAUGACUCCCAGACAAACCUUCAGGAAAGCAUUUUGAUUCAGGGCAGCCUCAUCCAGCAGCAACAGCUGCAGCAACAGCGACAACAGCAGAACUUCAUCCAGAGCACAGGGCUGGUCCAUGUGUGGCCCCUGCAGACUGCUCAGGGUGGGGCUGAGUCCAGCACCUAUAUGGAGGACCAUGUUGAGGAUGAAGGGAACCCACGUCUGGAGAAGGCUCCUCUCCUAAACAAGAAGCCCUCUCCAGAGGAGGAUGAUGCAGUGUGCCGGGACCUAGAAUCGCUAUCUCCUAGAGAGGAGCUGGAGCAUGCUGCACUGAGCCGCAAAGUCUCAGAUGUCACCUCUUCUGGGGUACAGUCCUUUGAUGAGGAAGAGGGAGAAUCAAACAACUGAUGCUUUCUGUGAAGUUCUCAUCACUGAUAAACAAAGAAAGGGAUGGAAAGGAAUGAAAUGGCAGGGAUUCUUCUCUCCAGCUUCCCAGACUUCCAAGCAGACACACCUUCCAUUCCUGACAUAUAUUUUUUAAAUAAGAGGAAAAUUGAAAGUCAUUGACAGAUGAAGACCUCUUCUACCCCUUCACCAUGGACACAUAUUUCCAAGUUUUAUUGCUCUGGGCAGCACACAUGAGGUGCUUGGAGAAAUCUGGAUUGGCUUGAUACAUUGCUCGGAUAACAAGAGAGUGAUACCUGCUCCUUUCUUGAUUCAGGUUUAGACCUCAGCAUAUUUUCAGGAAGAAAAUAUGAGGAGACAAAAAUGUGACCAAAGUAGUAUCUUCAAGGCUCUCAGAGUUCAGACAGCUCCUGGCAAGUAAAGCAGAUUAUGUCCAGAACUAUGAGAAAUGUGAAUGGGACUCUCAGAUAGGAUUUUAGCCCACUCAGUUUUCUGACACACAUGCAGUCAUAUGAAGAGGGGACUCCUUCAUGAACUCCCAAGUCUUGCCAGCCAACUCCACAUCAAGCGGAUCUGUCUCUCCUCUUCAUUACACCUGAAAGGAAAACACCUUCGGGAGACUUAAGUAAGAAUGAUAAUUUGGGGUAGGUAAGAGAUAAAAGCUUUUGUGACCACUUUUCCCCGCUCCCCCCACCCCUGUUUCCUUGGGCUUACCUACAUCUUUCUUAGGAGGUAGCUCUUCUCCUGAAUGAUGAUCUUUUGAUAUCUCUUUAAAGAUGUUCACACAUUCAGGUGCUAACCUCCUCCAGGCAGGAGACUUUGAUGAUCUCCUACAGUUCUUGCAGGCACAGUGCUAGCUCAGUGUC
Non-coding RNA from Tinamus guttatus (white-throated tinamou), 2062 nucleotides. NCBI's taxonomy places the organism in Eukaryota, Metazoa, Chordata, Aves, Tinamiformes, Tinamidae. The record is from RefSeq and is a predicted model, not a curated record.